This 324-nucleotide ribosomal RNA is filed under the name Triticum aestivum (bread wheat). RNAcentral describes it as "partial small subunit ribosomal RNA". The record is from RNAcentral. Lineage: Eukaryota; Viridiplantae; Streptophyta; Magnoliopsida; Poales; Poaceae.
AUGAAAAUCAGUCGAUGGAAAGAAAAAUUAUUAUCAAGUGGAGGGUAAGAAGUUCUCCUCAAGUAUGUUGUACAGUCUAUCCCCACUUAUGCUAUGUCCGUCUUUAGAAUUCCUAACCAAACAUGCAAAUGAAUCACUGACACAAUGUCGCGUUUUUGGUGGGGUGAUGAGGACAAUCGAAAGAAGAUGCAUUGGAUGGCCCGGUGGAAAGUGUGUAAAAAAAAUCAUGGAGGAAUAGGUUUUCAUGGCAUCCAUUGUUUCAAUUUGGCGUUUUUGGCUAUAACCAAGUACUUCCCAGAUGGUUAUUUGGUGAAUGUCAUUUAA